Molecule: ribosomal RNA, 271 nt
Filed under: uncultured prokaryote
Description: partial 16S ribosomal RNA
Rfam family: Bacterial small subunit ribosomal RNA
Source: RNAcentral
UACGGAGGAUCCAAGCGUUAUCCGGAUUUAUUGGGUUUAAAGGGUGCGUAGGCGGAAGAUUAAGUCGGUGGUGAAAUUUUGCAGCUCAACUGUAAAAGUGCCAUUGAUACUGGUUUUCUUGAGUAUGGAUGAAGUAGGCGGAAUUUGUGGUGUAGCGGUGAAAUGCAUAGAUAUCACGAGGAACUCCGAUUGCGCAGGCAGCUUACUAAACCAUAACUGACGCUCAGGCACGAAGGCGUGGGGAUCAAACAGGAUUAGAUACCCCCGUAGU